CCUACGGGUGGCUGCAGUGGGGAAUAUUGGACAAUGGGCGUAAGCCUGAUCCAGCCAUGCCGCGUGUGUGAAGAAGGCCUUCGGGUUGUAAAGCACUUUCAGUGGGGAAGAAAGCCUUGGGGCUAAUACCCUCGAGGAAGGACAUCACCCACAGAAGAAGCACCGGCUAACUCCGUGCCAGCAGCCGCGGUAAUACGGAGGGUGCGAGCGUUAAUCGGAAUUACUGGGCGGAAAGCGCGCGUAGGCGGUCUGAUAAGCCGGUUGUGAAAGCCCCGGGCUCAACCUGGGAACGGCAUCCGGAACUGUCAGGCUAGAGUGCAGGAGAGGAAGGUAGAAUUCCCGGUGUAGCGGUGAAAUGCGUAGAGAUCGGGAGGAAUACCAGUGGCGAAGGCGGCCUUCUGGACUGACACUGACGCUGAGGUGCGAAAGCGUGGGUAGCAAACAGGAUUAGAUACCCCAGUAGUC
RNAcentral lists this ribosomal RNA (465 nucleotides) under Vreelandella stevensii. Its description in RNAcentral is "partial 16S ribosomal RNA". It matches the Rfam family "Bacterial small subunit ribosomal RNA", at positions 338 to 795 of the family's 1533-position model. The record is from RNAcentral. Lineage: Bacteria; Pseudomonadati; Pseudomonadota; Gammaproteobacteria; Oceanospirillales; Halomonadaceae.